UACGGAAGGUCCGGGCGUUAUCCGGAUUUAUUGGGUUUAAAGGGAGCGCAGGCGGAGGCUUAAGCGUGACGUGAAAUGUAGCCGCUCAACGGCUGAGUUGCGUCGCGAACUGGGUUUCUUGAGUGAGUGCGACGUCAGCGGAAUUCGUGGUGUAGCGGUGAAAUGCUUAGAUAUCACGAAGAACCCCGAUUGCGAAGGCAGCUGACGAGCCCUUUACUGACGCUAAAGCUCGAAGGUGCGGGUAU
RNAcentral lists this ribosomal RNA (245 nucleotides) under uncultured Prevotella sp. Its description in RNAcentral is "partial 16S ribosomal RNA". It matches the Rfam family "Bacterial small subunit ribosomal RNA", at positions 524 to 768 of the family's 1533-position model. Lineage: Bacteria; Pseudomonadati; Bacteroidota; Bacteroidia; Bacteroidales; Prevotellaceae. The record is from RNAcentral.